Molecule: ribosomal RNA, 2679 nt
Filed under: Triticum aestivum (bread wheat)
Lineage: Eukaryota; Viridiplantae; Streptophyta; Magnoliopsida; Poales; Poaceae
Description: partial small subunit ribosomal RNA
Source: RNAcentral
AUGGACGACUUCCAGGGCAUCCUGGCCCGCGACUUCGGCCUCCGCCCUAAGGGGAAGGCUGCGCCCAUGUCGGCCGCCCGCGCCGCGGCGCCCUCUGGAUCCGCCUGGGACAGCACCAGAUCCGCCGCCGCUGCCGCGCCAUCCGCCCCCUCCUACGACGAUCUCUUCGGGGCCCCGUCCUCCGCGCCGCCGCCCAAGCCCACGCAGCCGACCUCCAUCGACUCCAUGUUCGACUCCUUCGCGGAGCCCUCUGCCUCAGCCGCGCCGCCCAAGCCCAAGCACUCGUCCAUGCCCGUGUUCGACAAGCCAGUCUACGACGACGAUAUCUUUGACGGGGUCCCCGGUGUGAAGAGCUCCUCGGUGCGCUACGACGACGUCUUUGCGGGCAACCACGCGCCGGCCCCUGCAGACGACGACCUGCUCGCUGGUUUCGGAACCAAGUCAGUGGCUAGGGAGGUGCCGGAAGAUAAGUGGAAGCCCGGGCCAGCAGCCGCCUCAGCGGGGUUUGAUGAUUUGUUUGCGGGGAUUGGCAGGAGCAGCCCGGUGAAGCAAAGGCAAACUGCUGGUGCUAAAGAAAAGAGGGUGCCUACAUCUCAGCCAGCUAGCAUGGCAAGCGACCCUUUUGUUUCUUUUGAAACAACUUCUACUUCAGCCCGUCAAUCCUCUGGGAUAUUCUCGGAUCCCUUGGAUGAAUUGGGUAGGCAUUCAAAAUCUCAAGUAAAAACUGCUGCUGACAGUGGUCUAUUUGAGGAUUCUAGCGCAUUCAAUCAGGUCCCAAAAUCAGAACCUUUGUUUACCACAAAUUUGAGUGAUGACUCUAAAGGUAGCAACGGAUCAACCAAGGCCCGAGACUCGAGCCCUGUGCAAAAUUUUCCGAAAAGAAACUCAGCCCAACAACCUUCUGUGGAGGACUUCGAAAAUAUUUUUACACAGUCACAGUCUGCCCGAUAUUCUGAUGUUCAUGUUGAUAGUGGUGCUCCAGGUUCCGAGAAAUACAGUGGGAAUGGUAUGGAUGACCGGUCACCAAGAUCAGAUGAGUCUGAGGAUGAGAUAUGGCUUACAGUUUCUGAGAUUCCCCUCUUCACACAGCCAACGAGUGCCCCACCACCUUCAAGACCACCACCAUCUCUUGCAAUUAAGCAAAAACCGCAUGGAUCAAGAGCAAAACGAAGGGAUGAUGAAUAUCUGCGGCACUCCACCCAGAACUACAACCAUAACAAAAAUUCUUCGAUGGAUGAAUUAGAAGAAUUUGCCAUGGGCAAACCUCAGAAAUCAGCUUAUGACAAUGCAAAUCCUUUUUAUGAGGAUGAAUCUGAGCGGAAUUCAUCGGCGGCAGCAUCUGCAGCUGCUAUGAAGGAAGCCAUGGAGAAAGCUGAGGCUAAGUUCAAGCAUGCUAAGGAAGUACGAGAGAGAGAACGUGAUGCAAAGCUUAGAAAUAGGGAACAGCAGGAACAGGAUGAUGAAGCAAGGUCGUAUGCACAGGAUCGGGAAGAGAGAGAGAGGCAGGAGAAACUAGACAGGGAGAAAGAGAUGAGACAAAGGGAGGAAAAGGAGAGAGAACAAAGAAGACUUGAAGAAGCGAGGGAGCUUGAGCAACAGAGAGAAAGAGGGAGGGGUAGACAAGCUGUGGAGAGGGCUACAAAGGAGGCACGGGAAAGAGCAGCUAUCGAAGCACGUGCAAAAGCAGAGAGGGAAGCACACCUACGUAAUGAGAGGGCUGCUGUGCAAAGAGCUCAGCAGGAAGCUCGUGAGAGAGCUGCAGUGGAUGCUAGAGACCGAGCUGAUAGGGCUGCUGCUGAAGCUAAGGAGAAGGCUGCUGCUCAAACCAGGGAGAGGGCUACAGCAGAAAGAGCUGCUGUUGAGAGAGUUCAACAAGAUGCAAAGAGAAGAGCUGACCGAGCAGCAGUGGAAAAGGCCGCAGCUGAGGUUCGGGAAAGGCAAGCUGCUGAGGCUCGAGAGAGGCACGCUGCUUCUGCAGCGGCAGCAGCGGCAAGAGAAAAACAGAGUAAACCAGAUGACCUUGAGUCCUUUUUUGGUAUGGGUGCCCGAGCAAACAGUGCACCUAAGCAAAGGGCUCCAACAGUGGAUCCUACGUUUAAUGCUCAAAGUCAAAGUAGAGCGGCAGCAACCUCUGCUUCAGCAUCAUCUAUGCGGAAGGCAUCAUCUACAACAAAUUUUACGGAUGACCUAUCCGUGAUAUUUGGAGGAGCUCCCACGCCAUCUGAUGAGUUUCAAGCGGUUGAAGGAGAGAGUGAAGAGAGAAGACGUGCUAGGUUGGAGCGGCAUCAACGGACCCGUGAACGAGCGGCAAAAGCUCUGGCUGAGAAGAAUGAACGGGACAUGAAUGUUCAAAGAGAGCAGGCAGAAAGAGAUAGAAUUUCGGAAAGUUUAGACUUCGAGAUUAAGCGAUGGGCUGCUGGAAAAGAAGGCAAUUUGCGGGCACUGCUAUCAACUAUGCAAUAUGUACUUUGGCUAGAAUGUGGAUGGCAGCCUGUAUCCCUAACAGAUCUGAUCACUGCUGCUGCGGUUAAAAAGGUGUACAGAAAGGCAACUUUGUGCAUCCAUCCUGAUAAGGUGCAACAAAAGGGUGCAAAUCUACAGCAGAAAUAUAUCGCCGAGAAGGUUUUUGAUCUUCUUAAGGAGGCCUGGAACAAAUUUAACUCCGAAGAGCUCUUCUAG